GACGAACGCUGGCGGCGUGCUUAACACAUGCAAGUCGAACGGAAAGGCCCUGCUUUUGUGGGGUGCUCGAGUGGCGAACGGGUGAGUAACACGUAAGUAACCUGCCCUUGACUUUGGGAUAACUUCAGGAAACUGGGGCUAAUACCGGAUAGGAGCUCCUGCUGCAUGGUGGGGGUUGGAAAGUUUCGGCGGUUGGGGAUGGACUCGCGGCUUAUCAGCUUGUUGGUGGGGUAGUGGCUUACCAAGGCUUUGACGGGUAGCCGGCCUGAGAGGGUGACCGGCCACGUUGGGACUGAGAUACGGCCCAGACUCCUACGGGAGGCAGCAGUGGGGAAUAUUGCACAAUGGGCGGAAGCCUGAUGCAGCAACGCCGCGUGCGGGAUGACGGCCUUCGGGUUGUAAACCGCUUUCGCCUGUGACGAAGCGUGAGUGACGGUAAUGGGUAAAGAAGCACCGGCUAACUACGUG
RNAcentral lists this ribosomal RNA (468 nucleotides) under uncultured bacterium. RNAcentral's name for it is "partial 16S ribosomal RNA". It matches the Rfam family "Bacterial small subunit ribosomal RNA", at positions 28 to 507 of the family's 1533-position model. The record is from RNAcentral.